UGGGUAGUCCGCACGAGCGCANCCCUUAUCCUUAUUUGCCAGCACGUAAUGGUGGGAACUCUAGGGAGACUGCCGGUGAUAAACCGGAGGAAGGUGGGGACGACGUCAAGUCAUCAUGGCCCUUACGAGUAGGGCUACACACGUGCUACAAUGGCGUAUACAGAGGGUUGCAAAGCCGCGAGGUGGAGCUAAUCUCACAAAGUACGUCGUAGUCCGGAUCGGAGUCUGCAACUCGACUCCGCGAAGUCGGAAUCGCUAGUAAUCGUGGAUCAGAAUGCCACGGUGAAUACGUUCCCGGGCCUUGUACACACCGCCCGUCACACCAUGGGAGUGGGCUGCAAAAGAAGUGGGUAGUUUAACCUUCGGGAGAACGCUCACCACUUUGUGGUUCAUGACUGGGGUGAAGUCGUAACAAGGUAGCCCUAGGGGAACCUGGGGCUGGAUCACCUCCUU
Molecule: ribosomal RNA, 453 nt
Filed under: uncultured Shewanellaceae bacterium
Lineage: Bacteria; Pseudomonadati; Pseudomonadota; Gammaproteobacteria; Alteromonadales; Shewanellaceae
Description: bacterial SSU rRNA
Rfam family: Bacterial small subunit ribosomal RNA
Source: RNAcentral